This 66-nucleotide transfer RNA is filed under the name Uenoa lobata. Its description in RNAcentral is "tRNA-Ile". Lineage: Eukaryota; Metazoa; Arthropoda; Insecta; Trichoptera; Uenoidae. The record is from RNAcentral.
AAUAAUAUGCCUGAAAAAGGAUUACUCUGAUAGGGUAAAUCAUGCAAUAAAUAAUUGCUAUUAUUA